UCGGGUACUUUAGUGGCGAACGGGUGAGUAAUACAUAGGUAACCUACCCUUAAGACGAGGAUAGCCAUUGGAAACGAUGGAUAAAACUGGAUAGGAUAUAGAGGAAGAAUCUUUUAUAUUUAAAAGAGAGAUCUGCUUAAGGUGGGGCCUGUGGCGCAUUAGCUAGUUGGUGGGGUAAGGGCCUACCAAGGCGAUGAUGCGUAGCCGGACUGAGAGGUUGAACGGCCACAAUGGAACUGAGAACGGUCCAUACUCCUACGGGAGGCAGCAGUAGGGAAUUUUCGGCAAUGGGGGGAACCCUGACCGAGCAACGCCGCGUGAACGAAGAAGUUAUUCGUAAUGUAAAGUUCUUUUAUCAGGGAAGAAAGAGGAAUUUGACGGUACCUGAGGAAUAAGCUCCGGCUAACUACGUGCCAGCAGCCGCGGUAAUACGUAGGGAGCGAGCGUUAUCCGGAAUUAUUGGGCGUAAAGGGUGCGUAGAUGGCAUAGUAAGUCUUUUGUAAAAAUGCUGGGCUCAACCCAGUAGGGCAAAAGAUACUGCAAAGCUAGAGUAUGACAGAGGCAAGUGGAACUACAUGUGUAGCGGUAAAAUGCGUAAAUAUAUGUAAGAACACCAGUGGCGAAGGCGGCUUGCUGGGUCGAUACUGACAUUGAGGCACGAAAGCGUGGGGAGCAAACAGGAUUAGAUACCCUGGUAGUCCACGCCCUAAACGAUGAGUACUAAGUGUUGGUGAGAAUCAGUGCUGAAGUUAACGCAUUAAGUACUCCGCCUGAGUAGUACGUACGCAAGUAUGAAACUUAAAGGAAUUGACGGGAGCCCGCACAAGCGGUGGAGCAUGUUGUUUAAUUCGACGAUACGCGAAGAACCUUACCAGGUCUUGA
This 882-nucleotide ribosomal RNA is filed under the name uncultured bacterium. Its description in RNAcentral is "bacterial SSU rRNA". It matches the Rfam family "Bacterial small subunit ribosomal RNA", at positions 83 to 984 of the family's 1533-position model. The record is from RNAcentral.